GAGAGAGGUAAAGAGAGUAUGGAGAAAAGAGGGGACAUUAUGAAAGGAGAGAGGUAAAAGAGGAUAUGGAGAAAAGAGGGGACAUUAUGAAAGGAGAGAGGUAAAAGAGGAUAUGGAGAAAAGAGGGGACAUUAUGAAAGGAGAGAGGUAAAGAGAGUAUGGAGAAAAGAGGGGACAUUAUGAAAGGAGAGAGGUAAAAGAGAGUAUGGAGAAAGGAGGGGACAUUAUGAAAGGAGAGAGGUAAAAGAGAGUAUGGAGAAAAGAGGGGACAUUAUGAAAGGAGAGAGGUAAAACAGAGUUUGGAGAAAAGAGGGGACAUGAAAGGAGAGAGGUAAAGAGAGUAUGGAGAAAAGAGGGGACAUUAUGAAAGGAGAGAGGUAAAACAGAGUAUGGAGAAAAGAGGGGACAUUAUGAAAGGAGAGAGGUAAAGAGAGUAUGGAGAAGAGAGGGGAUAUUAUGAAAGGAGAGAGGUAAAAGAGAGUAUGGAGAAAAGAGGGGACAUUAUGAAAGGAGAGAGGUAAA
Oncorhynchus tshawytscha (Chinook salmon) is the source of this 522-nucleotide long non-coding RNA. NCBI's taxonomy places the organism in Eukaryota, Metazoa, Chordata, Actinopteri, Salmoniformes, Salmonidae. The record is from Ensembl.